RNAcentral lists this ribosomal RNA (502 nucleotides) under uncultured bacterium. RNAcentral describes it as "partial 16S ribosomal RNA". It matches the Rfam family "Bacterial small subunit ribosomal RNA", at positions 30 to 523 of the family's 1533-position model. The record is from RNAcentral.
AUUGAACGCUGGCGGCAGGCUUAACACAUGCAAGUCGAGCGGGGUGAUGGUGCUUGCACUAUCACUUAGCGGCGGACGGGUGAGUAAUGCUUAGGAAUCUGCCUAUUAGUGGGGGACAACAUCUCGAAAGGGAUGCUAAUACCGCAUACGUCCUACGGGAGAAAGCAGGGGAUCACUUGUGACCUUGCGCUAUACGAGCGGCCGAUGUCAGAUUAGCUAGUUGGUAGGGUAAAGGCCUACCAAGGCGACGAUCUGUAGCGGGUCUGAGAGGAUGAUCCGCCACACUGGGACUGAGGCACGGCCCAGACUCCUACGGGAGGCAGCAGUGGGGAAUUUUGGACAAUGGGGGAAACCCUGAUCCAGCCAUGCCGCGUGAGUGAAGAAGGCCUUCGGGUUGUAAAGCUCUUUCGGCUGGGAAGAAAUCGCACAGGCUAAUACUCUGUGUGGAUGACGGUACCAGCACAAGAAGCACCGGCUAACUACGUGCCAGCAGCCGCAGUAA